Long non-coding RNA from Lagopus leucura (white-tailed ptarmigan), 247 nucleotides. RefSeq lists it as uncharacterized. The record is from RefSeq and is a predicted model, not a curated record. The transcript is spliced from 3 exons. Lineage: Eukaryota; Metazoa; Chordata; Aves; Galliformes; Phasianidae.
GAAAAUACUGCUGAGCAUCCACUUGUCCCAGCCCCCAGAUAAGUACAACCCAGCAGAUGUUUGAUGUUUGCUCCUUCCCAAAGCACCUGAUUUGCCACCCCGGACUAUGGUUUGUGCAUCUUGCUCCAAGUGAAGUCAAUGGCAGCUGCAUUUAGGACACAUUAUGUGCUGCAUACUGACAUGCUCAGAAGAAUGGGACCCCAGGCAUCUUCUAUGCAUCACUUACAGUUUACAUCGAGGAGAAGGG